CCUACGGGAGGCUGCAGUGAGGAAUAUUGGUCAAUGGACGAGAGUCUGAACCAGCCAUGUCGCGUGCAGGAUGACUGCUCUAUGAGUUGUAAACUGCUUUUGUACAAGAGUAAACCUAAACCCGUGUAUCUAUCUGUAAGUACUUUAUGAAUAAGGAUCGGCUAACUCCGUGCCAGCAGCCGCGGUAAUACGGAGGAUCCAAGCGUUAUCCGGAUUUAUUGGGUUUAAAGGGUGCGUAGACGGAUUGAUAAGUUAGAUGUGAAAUGUUCGAGCUUAACUUGAGAAUUGCCUGUAAUACUGUUGAUCUAGAGAAUAGAUGAGGUAGGCGGAAUGUGUGGUGUAGCGGUGAAAUGCUUAGAGAUCAUACAGAACACCGAGUGCGAAGGCAGCUUACCAAUCUAUGUCUGACAUUGAGGCACGAAAGCGUGGGGAGCAAACAGGAUUAGAUACCCGUGUAGUC
RNAcentral lists this ribosomal RNA (460 nucleotides) under uncultured bacterium. RNAcentral's name for it is "partial 16S ribosomal RNA". It matches the Rfam family "Bacterial small subunit ribosomal RNA", at positions 338 to 795 of the family's 1533-position model. The record is from RNAcentral.